This 775-nucleotide ribosomal RNA is filed under the name Pseudocercospora mapelanensis. RNAcentral's name for it is "eukaryotic LSU rRNA". It matches the Rfam family "Eukaryotic large subunit ribosomal RNA", at positions 76 to 883 of the family's 3401-position model. Lineage: Eukaryota; Fungi; Ascomycota; Dothideomycetes; Mycosphaerellales; Mycosphaerellaceae. The record is from RNAcentral.
UGCCCUAGUAACGGCGAGUGAAGCGGCAACAGCUCAAAUUUGAAAUCUGGCGCAAGCCCGAGUUGUAAUUUGUAGAGGAUGCUUCUGGGUAGCGGCCGGUCUAAGUUCCUUGGAACAGGACGUCAUAGAGGGUGAGAAUCCCGUAUGUGACCGGCUUGCACCCUCCACGUAGCUCCUUCGACGAGUCGAGUUGUUUGGGAAUGCAGCUCUAAAUGGGAGGUAAAUUUCUUCUAAAGCUAAAUACCGGCCAGAGACCGAUAGCGCACAAGUAGAGUGAUCGAAAGAUGAAAAGCACUUUGGAAAGAGAGUUAAAAAGCACGUGAAAUUGUUGAAAGGGAAGCGCCCGCAACCAGACUUUGCGGCGGUGUUCGGCCGGUCUUCUGACCGGUUUACUCGCCGCCGUGAGGCCAUCAUCGUCUGGGACCGCUGGAUAAGACCUGAGGAAUGUAGCUCCCUUCGGGGUGUGUUAUAGCCUCUGGUGAUGCAGCGCGUCCCGGGCGAGGUCCGCGCUUCGGCAAGGAUGAUGGCGUAAUGGUUGUCGGCGGCCCGUCUUGAAACACGGACCAAGGAGUCUAACAUCUAUGCGAGUGUUCGGGUGUCAAACCCCUACGCGUAAUGAAAGUGAACGGAGGUGGGAACUUUUUGUGCACCAUCGACCGAUCCUGAUGUCCUCGGAUGGAUUUGAGUAAGAGCAUAGCUGUUGGGACCCGAAAGAUGGUGAACUAUGCCUGAAUAGGGUGAAGCCAGAGGAAACUCUGGUGGAGGCUCGCAGCGG